Molecule: ribosomal RNA, 406 nt
Filed under: uncultured bacterium
Lineage: Bacteria
Description: partial 16S ribosomal RNA
Rfam family: Bacterial small subunit ribosomal RNA
Source: RNAcentral
AUUGAACGCUGGCGGCAGGCCUAACACAUGCAAGUCGAACGAGUGGCGGACGGGUGAGUAAUGUCUGGGAAACUGCCUGAUGGAGGGGGAUAACUACUGGAAACGGUAGCUAAUACCGCAUACCAUCGGAUGUGCCCAGGUGGGAUUAGCUAGUAGGUGGGGUAAAGGCCCACCGAGGCGACGAUCCCUUGCUGGUCUGAGGGGAUGACCAGAGACACUGAAACUGAGGAACGGCCCAGGCUCCUAAGGGAGGCAGCAGGGGGGAAUAGUGCACAAUGGGCGCAAGCCUGAUGCAGCCAUGCCGCUUGUAUGGAGAAGGACGUCGGGUUGUAAGGUACUAUCAGCGGGGAGGCGGUAGCCGCAGAAGAAGCACCGGCUAACUCCGUGCCAGCAGCCGCGGUAAUAC